RNAcentral lists this ribosomal RNA (357 nucleotides) under uncultured bacterium. RNAcentral describes it as "bacterial SSU rRNA". It matches the Rfam family "Bacterial small subunit ribosomal RNA", at positions 29 to 416 of the family's 1533-position model. The record is from RNAcentral.
AACGAACGCUGGCGGCAGGCCUAACACAUGCAAGUCGAACGCACCGCAAGGUGAGUGGCGCACGGGUGAGUAACACGUGGGAAUGUACCCUUUGGUUCGGAAUAACGUUUGGAAACGAACGCUAAUACCGGAUGAGCCCUGCGGGGGAAAGAUUUAUCGCCAAAGGAGCAACCCGCGUCUGAUUAGCUAGUUGGUGGGGUAAAGGCCUACCAAGGCGACGAUCAGUAGCUGGUCUGAGAGGAUGAUCAGCCACACUGGGACUGAGACACGGCCCAGACUCCUACGGAGGCAGCAGUGGGGAAUAUUGGACAAUGGGCGCAAGCCUGAUCCAGCCAUGCCGCGUGAGUGAUGAAGGCC